This 908-nucleotide ribosomal RNA is filed under the name uncultured bacterium. Its description in RNAcentral is "bacterial SSU rRNA". It matches the Rfam family "Bacterial small subunit ribosomal RNA", at positions 59 to 950 of the family's 1533-position model. The record is from RNAcentral.
CAGUAGAACGCUGAAUAAGAGCUUGCUCUUAUGGAUGAGUUGCGAACGGGUGCAGUAACACGUGGGGAACCUACCUUCUAGCGGGGGAUAACACAUAGAAAUGUGUGCUAAUACCGCAUAAUAGUAUUUGAUGCAUAUCAGAUACUUGAAAGGCGCAAUUGCGUCACUAGAAGAUGGCCCCGCGGUGCAUUAGCUAGUUGGUGAGGUAACGGCUCACCAAGGCAAUGAUGCAUAGCCGAUCUGAGAGGGUGAUCGGCCACACUGGGACUGAGACACGGCCCAGACUCCUACGGGAGGCAGCAGUAGGGAAUCUUCGGCAAUGGACGCAAGUCUGACCGAGCAACGCCGCGUGAGUGAAGAAGGUUUUCGGAUCGUAAAACUCUGUUGUAAGAGAAGAACGUUGAUGAGAGUGGAAAGUUCAUCAAGUGACGGUAUCUUACCAGAAAGCCACGGCUAACUACGUGCCAGCAGCCGCGGUAAUACGUAGGUGGCAAGCGUUGUCCGGAUUUAUUGGGCGUAAAGCGAGCGCAGGCGGUUGAUUAAGUCUGAUGUGAAAGCCCCCGGCUCAACCGGGGAGGGUCAUUGGAAACUGGUCAACUUGAGUGCAGAAGAGGAGAGUGGAAUUCCAUGUGUAGCGGUGAAAUGCGUAGAUAUAUGGAGGAACACCAGUGGCGAAGGCGGCUCUCUGGUCUGUAACUGACGCUGAGGCUCGAAAGCGUGGGGAGCGAACAGGAUUAGAUACCCUGGUAGUCCACGCCGUAAACGAUGAGUGCUAAGUGUAGGAGGGUUUCCGCCCUUCAGUGCUGCAGCUAACGCAUUAAGCACUCCGCCUGGGGAGUACGACCGCAAGGUUGAAACUCAAAGGAAUUGACGGGGGCCCGCACAAGCGGUGGAGCAUGUGGUUUAAU